AUGAUUUUUCUUCAGACCCUGAAAGCACAACCAUAUUGCUGUCCUCACAAUAUCUUCCAUCAUCAAACCCUGAAACUGGAGAAGGUGCUAAUGUUGCUAAGGUUGAUUUGUUUUUCUUCGCUAUUACGAGGUUGCACACGAACCGUGGGAAACGAUUAUGACAAGCCGAUGUUUCAAAAUAGCGAAUGUGAUGCCAGUGUUGGUUCUAUUGCUAAAGCGUUUGUCCCCACUGGCAUGCUCAACUCAGACAGUGCUCGUGUUGUUUUAUAUUCUCUAUGUCAGAAGUACCUUGACACUGACAAGUUGAUAGUUCCCAGAUGGGUGAUGACCAAGAUCCAUGAUGGGAAUAUUGCUGCCAAUGUGCUACAGUGGUUCAUGAGAUCAGGGGCUGAUGGUUUUGACCAAAUUCUUUUCCCUACUUUUGAUCCGCCGUCAUUUGUGGCUGCCAUGAAGCCUAGUGAAGAAUCUGGGCAUUGGUGCUUGAUUGUUCUGAAUUUGAGGUUUCGUCAUCUCGAGUGUCUUGAUUCACUCCGCGAUGAAAGUUGGAGUGACACAGUUAGAUUCUUUAGGACUAUGACAGAUAACAUAAAGAAGCUCUGGAGGGAGUCCAGCGUAUACAAGGCCAAACUGUUCUUGCCGGCGCAUAUUGAUGGUUUCUCUUGCGAGUUUGUGCGGGCGCCGCGGGAGCAAAACACGUACCUAGACUUGCCUGCCUGCGGCCCAGGGCGUGGCUCCACCAACAGCCUGGUAGAGCCCAUCUUCACCAGCAACCACUCAAGACCCUCGUGA
This 789-nucleotide ribosomal RNA is filed under the name Triticum aestivum (bread wheat). RNAcentral's name for it is "partial small subunit ribosomal RNA". The record is from RNAcentral. Lineage: Eukaryota; Viridiplantae; Streptophyta; Magnoliopsida; Poales; Poaceae.